RNAcentral lists this ribosomal RNA (59 nucleotides) under Dioszegia crocea. RNAcentral describes it as "partial 26S ribosomal RNA". It matches the Rfam family "Eukaryotic large subunit ribosomal RNA", at positions 1 to 57 of the family's 3401-position model. The record is from RNAcentral. Lineage: Eukaryota; Fungi; Basidiomycota; Tremellomycetes; Tremellales; Bulleribasidiaceae.
UCUGACCUCAAAUCAGGUAGGACUACCCGUUGAACUUAAGCAUAUCAAUAAGCGGAGGA